RNAcentral lists this unclassified non-coding RNA (332 nucleotides) under soil metagenome. RNAcentral's name for it is "partial contains 5.8S ribosomal RNA, internal transcribed spacer 2, and large subunit ribosomal RNA". The stretch from base 1 to 120 matches the Rfam family "5.8S ribosomal RNA", at positions 35 to 154 of the family's 154-position model. The record is from RNAcentral.
GAUGAAGAACGUAGUAAAAUGCGAUAAGUAAUGUGAAUUGCAGAAUUCAGUGAAUCAUCGAAUCUUUGAACGCACAUUGCGCCCGCCAGUGUUCUGGCGGGCAUGCCUGUUCGAGCGUCAUUUCAACCCUCAAGCACAGCUUGGUGUUGGGACUCGCGUUAAUUCGCGUUCCCCAAAUUGAUUGGCGGUCACGUCGAGCUUCCAUAGCGUAGUAGUAAAACCCUCGUUACUGGUAAUCGCCGCGGCCACGCCGUUAAACCCCAACUUCUGAAUGUUGACCUCGGAUCAGGUAGGAAUACCCGCUGAACUUAAGCAUAUCAAUAAGCGGAGGA